Molecule: unclassified non-coding RNA, 325 nt
Filed under: soil metagenome
Description: partial contains 5.8S ribosomal RNA, internal transcribed spacer 2, and large subunit ribosomal RNA
Rfam family: 5.8S ribosomal RNA (bases 1-120)
Source: RNAcentral
GAUGAAGAACGUAGCGAAAUGCGAUAAGUAAUGUGAAUUGCAGAAUUCAGUGAAUCUUCGAAUCUUUGAACGCACAUUGCGCCCCUUGGUAUUCCAUGGGGCAUGCCUGUUCGAGCGUCAUUUGUACCUUCAAGCAUUGCUUGGUGUUGGGUGUUUGUCCUGUAGGACUCGCCUUAAAGUUAUUGGCAGCCAGUAUUUUGGCUUGAAGCGCAGCACAAGUCGCGAUUCAAGUUUAAAUAGUAGCUCCCAGCAAGACAUUUAUCACUUUUGACCUCGGAUCAGGUAGGGAUACCCGCUGAACUUAAGCAUAUCAAUAAGCGGAGGA